This 207-nucleotide long non-coding RNA is filed under the name Pelobates cultripes (western spadefoot toad). The record is from RNAcentral. Lineage: Eukaryota; Metazoa; Chordata; Amphibia; Anura; Pelobatidae.
CCGAUCCUCCUCCUCUCCUCCUAUUCGGCUGGCUGCGCGCACAUUCAGCCGGUCUCAUAGGAAAGCAUUCAUAAUGCUUUCCUAUGGACGCUUGCGUGUUCUUACUGUGAUUUUCACAGUGAGAAUCACGCAAGCGCCUCUAGCGGCUGUCAAUGAGACAGCCACUAGAGGAAUUGAGGGCUGGAUUAACCCAUUUAUAAACACAGC